Long non-coding RNA from Haliotis rubra (blacklip abalone), 1440 nucleotides. RefSeq lists it as uncharacterized. The transcript is spliced from 2 exons. The record is from RefSeq and is a predicted model, not a curated record. Lineage: Eukaryota; Metazoa; Mollusca; Gastropoda; Lepetellida; Haliotidae.
UCCAAUUUUAGAGAUAGAUUCUCAUUUAAUUCUUGUUUCUAGUUGUUUUUUUUUAUCGUCCUUCGUCGACCGGUUUCUAUAAUUUAACAGCAUUUAUCAUGUAUUUAUAACUAGUUUUAGCCACGCUAUGGCUGAAAUACUGCCAAUGUGAUUAUAAACUUUAACUCUCUCACUCACUCUUCUUGGUGACAUAAGAGACAAAUCUAAAUGACGUCAUUUGAAAGUUGUCUCACUAACAACAUUCUGAUUGAAUCAUUUGGAAGAGCCAAUCUGAUUUACAUUUUCAGAAUCAAAGAAGAAACUUCACAACAAAAUGACCCAUUCGUUUACAAAGAUAACCGGUUUAGGUGUUCUCGUUGGUGGGCUUGUCGGAGUGGCGCUGACACUUAUCUUAGCGUUUGGGGUGUAUCUGUGUUUACAUUGUAGACCAUGCAGGAAUCACAGGUCUGUGAAGGAAGAGGAGACUAAAGACACAGAUAAAUCGCUGACUAAAGACACAGAAAACUCGCUGACCAUAAACAAGAGAAUCGAGACCUGUGUCUUGAACAUUAUGAAUGCAAUUACUGACAGGCAUUAGGACUUCAAUAAUCCUCCGGGAACUGACGAAAUGUUUCAAAAUGACAAACCAUACAUUCUAUGUUGAGGAAUAGCUAUUUCUCCGCUCAGUGAUCGAUAAUAGUAUAGUCAGAGUGUAUUUCUAUGCUAUGCUUUGCUUCUGUGAAUGCUUCAUUUAGAUAGUAUCGUUUCUCUGACUGGAACCACUAAGUGUCAUUUAUUCUCUUGCUGCAUGCACUCCAUUAUAAGGCACAGUGCUAGUUUUGAUACCAUGGCAAGAGGAGAUCCAGCGAUGUUGAGGCCAGGACAAGACCACUAAGCGAAGUGCUUCAAAUCCUAUACCCUUCCUAUUAACUGUGUGUUUUAAUGUUUUUGUAUAAUAUAUGGGUACUAUGAUGGAUGAAGCGUUUGCUCGUCACGAGGACACGGGUUCGAUUCCGUUCUCUUGCUUUAAACUCUCACAUAGGUUACAAUGUAUCGGAGCAUCGCAUUGCUACCAACCGCGUUGUUUUGUCGGCUGUUAAAUUGUCAAUCUUAUUUCACAGUGUUGCCCUUAAAGGACACGGAUCCAGUACACUAUAUUUUAUCACUUGAAGUACAGACCUCUAUCUUCUUUCCGAUCCUGAGUCAUUGUGAUUAUCUAGACAAUGUACAGAAAUCCGAUUCUUAAUACAGAUAGCAACUUGAAGUGUAAUAAGUAACUAAUCAUUGUAUAUUUAAAUACCAAUUACUCAGACGAAUAAUUGUAUUUUACAGGAAACACUAUCUAAAUGGACAAAAGUUAUGGAUACAAUGGUUGAAAAUCUAGCAGCAGUGUUUGCAUGCCAUAUACAAUAAACAUCUGUAAGAUUUCAAAAGAUUUGUGAAAUAUUAAACAGGCAACCU